ACUCGGUGUAGCAGCCGCGGUCCCACAGCUCCUCUGGGGCCCGAGUCUAGAGCCGGCCCGCCUCGGCCCGGCCGCCGCCCGUCGCUCCCGUCCCCGCGGAACAUCGCUGAGGCGGGCUGAGCGGCGCGGCGGGUUCUUUCUUCCCGCCCUUCCCGGAGCGAGUUCAGCCAAUCGGUGCCAGGAGCUACUCUGGGCCGUCCAAUGGGCGCAGCGGCCCGCCCGAAGGUCCCGCCCCUUGGCCAUCUCCUCAGGAUUGGCCUCGCGCUCUGCCUGCGCUGUGAGGGGCUCCGAGCGGCGGUGCUCCGCUGUCGUGCGCUUUGUUCUGCGACAGACUUUUCCUAUCCCUCCCCAGUGAACCGGUUAUGUGCCUGAGAAGUCCAUGUCAGCACUCUCAAACAGGACGGGCUGUGCACUGCAGAGGAGAUUGCACACCUGAAAAACCUUCUACUGUCCCUACAUUUCGCUGUUCUACAGGCAACUGCCGGGCAUGUGCAUGACUUAUGGAGCUGUUCAGCAAAUGCUGAUGUCUGUAGAAGUGUAAGAUGAAGUUUCCACCAGUUUCAGAAAGGAUUCAUACAGCUUUCAAAAAUAUCAUUUAAAAUCAUCACAGUAGAUACUAAGGAAGGAAAUAAAAUAAGCCUACACGUCAGCCUGUGAUUCACAUUGCCCUUUGAAGUUCUGCAUGUAGAUUCUUGUCUUUUUCUUAGAGCAAACUACUCAAGUUCAUGUGCUUCUUUCUUCUUAGAGAUCUAAAUUCAGUCAUAGUUUUGUUUUAAAGUAAAACUUAUAUCAGGCCAUCUAGUGCUGUGGUUGUCCUUCAGCUUGCUUCAGCUUUUUGUCUGAGUUUCUAAAAAGGCAAAAGAUAGGGAGGUUAUUUUGAAAAUCUUCAUAUUUUUUCUGAAAAUCCCGUUUUGCCAAUCUGUGCAGAAGUGCCUCAGGCACUCAAAUGAAGAAAGAUAAAGCUUUCACAUGGUUACAUUCUGUUGGGGCAUGCAUGCUUAAAACUGUCUUAUUUGUGUAAUGGCCAUAGAAACAGCCCUACAAAAGGAAUUCAGAGUGUAGAGAGAAGAGCCUGGGGCAAUUGUUGGGAUCAUGAAAAGCUGCCUGAAAGAAGCAGCCUGAGGUGACUGCAAUGAAUGAUACAGUUUUGAAGCCUGACAAAACCCUUAAAAGAUUUGGAAAGGACAGCUUAAUAUAGCUGAGUGCAAAUAAAGAGUGAGGGGCUGUAAAGGUGAAAACAAAACAAGAAACCAAAACAAAAAAAGCCCAGUGUGUGGUGGGAGUUACUACUCAGAGCUCUAUUAGUGACUCAUCUAGAACGAUCUUAUUUACUCUGCUGUGAUUCUCUGAAGUUAAACUAGCAUUUCCUGAACAUCAGAUACUUCCGUUGCUCUCUCAGUGGCAGCUUAGUUACUUAGGCCCAGUCAUUUCUGAAAUGCUGUUCUGAUUGUUUCACAUGACAAAUGGUUGACAACAUUUUGUGGGGUGGUUUUUGCUUUUUGUUUCAAGUUUCUGCUUUUAUGACUUGUUUGAAAAUACCUUCAGCAUUCUCUGCAAGAAUGUCCUGUAGCAUCUUCUCCAGUGCUUGUCCAUACUCUUGAUACUCUCUUUCUGUUAUCUUGACACCAAUUUCAAAAGGAACGUUAAACUAUAAAAACAUUAAAGAAGUUUAACAGAUGAUUUUUGGACAAGGACACUAGAAGAUAAUUUUAUUCGUAGGUGUGAUGAUAAGCAAGAGGUAGAAAAAUGUUAUCCAUUCAUUUAAUAAUGCUGAGACAUGUAGUGAUCAUCUGAUAAACAUAGUACAUGGCUACUGUAGAGACUGAACUGCACGAUAAACUGGAGGAGAGAAAACUAGAAGAAACUUGCUUUAUUAAAUGUUAGUUCUGAAAUGUAAGUGAAUCCUUAACAGGAGAUCAUGAUCUGCCUUUGUGCAUAUACUUUUAAAGUACUUCAUGCUAUCAGUGCUGGCAGUUUCCAUGUGUCUUUUUCUACAUACCCUUCAAGUUAAAUGACUGCGGCUCUCAUUUGUACACCUGUGGCAGAAAUUCUAUUCCCACUCCAACAAAAUCAUUUGAACUUGUAUGUGAGCAGGAGUGAAAAAUACACACCUUGAUAUCAACACUGUUAUUGUCAUCUUCUCCCUCUGUUUCAUCUGUAUCCCAAAAGCUUUCUGUGCCUCGGCGAUGUAAUCUUGCUGUUGGUUUUCUUGUAUCCUUUUGUUGCUAGAAAGCAAGCAAAAUAGCAUCUGUAUAACAUUCCCAUAAUCAAAGUGGUCUGUAGCAGGGAAAAUAGAACUCAUAAUUAAUGCAGAUGCAGCAAAUUAGUUAGAGCCAUUGCUGGCUGCUUUUAAAGUUACAAUUAGUUAAAGCUAUCAGUGGCUUUUAAAGUUAUGUGGAUGUGUGGGUAUACAGUAACUGUACUACUAUUCUGCAUUCACUUUAUCAGCAGUUUGUUUAAGGGUUCCUUAUGGAACAGCCACCUUCCAAUUCAUUUUCAAAAUGCAUGUUAACGACUUA
Molecule: long non-coding RNA, 2519 nt
Filed under: Gallus gallus (chicken)
Lineage: Eukaryota; Metazoa; Chordata; Aves; Galliformes; Phasianidae
Source: RNAcentral